AGGUCGUAACAAGGUUUCCGUAGGUGAACCUGCGGAAGGAUCAUUAAAAAAGAUCGUACCCAGAAAUGGGCAUUCUUAAACCACUGUGAAACCACCUGUUGCUUCGGCGGCAUCCCCUCGCGGGGAGUCAGCCCGUCAGAAGCCCAACACAACCAUUUCUGUAAACUGCAGCAGAAUUAUCAAGUUAAAUCGUUAAAA
This 198-nucleotide unclassified non-coding RNA is filed under the name plant metagenome. RNAcentral's name for it is "partial contains small subunit ribosomal RNA and internal transcribed spacer 1". The stretch from base 1 to 46 matches the Rfam family "Eukaryotic small subunit ribosomal RNA", at positions 1786 to 1831 of the family's 1831-position model. The record is from RNAcentral.